UAAACUCAAAUAUUUUUGGCCUUGCUUUCUGAACCUUUUCUUGAUUUGUCCCCAGGUAACAAGUAUUCUGAUCUCAAUAUGAGCUGCUGGUAACUUUCUGCAAAUGUGCUGAAAUCCCUGUCCUUGCUGUUAGAAGUGGAUACAGCCUGGCUGUAAGCUCUGGACAGAAAUCUGGGCAGAACCAAGACCUUUUUUGUUCUGGCAUUCAUCUGGAUUCAUGAUUGCUCCGUCUGCUGAUGAUUGGAUGUUAGAAAAGCAAUCCUGCUUUCUUGAUUCAAAGAGGAAAUGAGCAUUCUGGCUCAACCUGACUACUGGAGAAGGAAGGGAGCUAAGAAGCUCCAGAGUAUGCUGGGAUGCCGUGGCAGCAACUUUUGACAUUUGGAUUGGAGCC
This 391-nucleotide long non-coding RNA is filed under the name Numida meleagris (helmeted guineafowl). RNAcentral describes it as "lncRNA (ENSNMEG00000018718.1)". The record is from RNAcentral. Lineage: Eukaryota; Metazoa; Chordata; Aves; Galliformes; Numididae.